Molecule: ribosomal RNA, 253 nt
Filed under: uncultured bacterium
Lineage: Bacteria
Description: partial 16S ribosomal RNA
Rfam family: Bacterial small subunit ribosomal RNA
Source: RNAcentral
GACGUAGGGGGCGAGCGUUGUCCGGAUUUACUGGGCGUAAAGCGCAUGUAGGCGGCCUGUUAAGUGGCGUGUGAAAGCCCACGGCUCAACCGUGGGAGGCCGCGCCAUACUGACGGGCUUGAGGGUGGCAGAGGAUGAUGGAAUUCCCGGUGUAGCGGUGAAAUGCGUAGAUAUCGGGAGGAACGCCAGUGGCGAAGGCGGUCAUCUGGGCCACCCCUGACGUUGAGAUGCGAAAGCUGGGGGAGCGAACGGG